GAAACAGACUGCUUCUCGGGAGGACUAGCCGUGCCAUUUCUAGGACUAGAGACGACAAUGAAGCAAGAGUUCAUGGAAACGUUGAGAGGUUUCUACAGAGGACUCUUACCAAAUCUUGUAGUAGAUCCAAGCAUAUAUAACUUAUAAUUAUGUGAGAUAACAGUAACAAGCUGAUUUACAUUUCUCAACUAUCGAUAUUUUGUAUGAUCAUUUACAUUUUAAUCUCGACUAUAAAAUAUGAUCCACGAUACUGACAACGAUCGUAUACCUAUAAACAUUUGUUUAUAUAUAAUGGUACUCUCAA
RNAcentral lists this long non-coding RNA (304 nucleotides) under Brassica napus (rape). Its description in RNAcentral is "long non-coding RNA (BNAP_LNC001972)". The record is from RNAcentral. Lineage: Eukaryota; Viridiplantae; Streptophyta; Magnoliopsida; Brassicales; Brassicaceae.